RNAcentral lists this ribosomal RNA (742 nucleotides) under Klebsiella planticola. RNAcentral describes it as "Raoultella planticola partial 16S rRNA". Lineage: Bacteria; Pseudomonadati; Pseudomonadota; Gammaproteobacteria; Enterobacterales; Enterobacteriaceae. The record is from RNAcentral.
CGCUUUCGCACCUGAGCGUCAGUCUUUGUCCAGGGGGCCGCCUUCGCCACCGGUAUUCCUCCAGAUCUCUACGCAUUUCACCGCUACACCUGGAAUUCUACCCCCCUCUACAAGACUCAAGCUUGCCAGUUUCAAAUGCAGUUCCCAGGUUGAGCCCGGGGAUUUCACAUCUGACUUAACAAACCGCCUGCGUGCGCUUUACGCCCAGUAAUUCCGAUUAACGCUUGCACCCUCCGUAUUACCGCGGCUGCUGGCACGGAGUUAGCCGGUGCUUCUUCUGCGAGUAACGUCAAUCGCUAAGGUUAUUAACCUUAACGCCUUCCUCCUCGCUGAAAGUACUUUACAACCCGAAGGCCUUCUUCAUACACGCGGCAUGGCUGCAUCAGGCUUGCGCCCAUUGUGCAAUAUUCCCCACUGCUGCCUCCCGUAGGAGUCUGGACCGUGUCUCAGUUCCAGUGUGGCUGGUCAUCCUCUCAGACCAGCUAGGGAUCGUCGCCUAGGUGAGCCAUUACCCCACCUACUAGCUAAUCCCAUCUGGGCACAUCUGAUGGCAUGAGGCCCGAAGGUCCCCCACUUUGGUCUUGCGACGUUAUGCGGUAUUAGCUACCGUUUCCAGUAGUUAUCCCCCUCCAUCAGGCAGUUUCCCAGACAUUACUCACCCGUCCGCCGCUCGUCACCCGAGAGCAAGCUCUCUGUGCUACCGCUCGACUUGCAUGUGUUAGGCCUGCCGCCAGCGUUCAAU